GACGAACGCUGGCGGCGUGCCUAAUACAUGCCAGUCGAGCGGACGAUUCGAAAGCUUGCUUUUGAAUCGUUAGCGGCGGACGGGUGAGUAACACGUGGGCAACCUGCCCUUUAGACGGGGAUAACACCGAGAAAUCGGUGCUAAUACCGGAUAACACGAAAUGUCGCAUGACGUUUCGGUGAAAGGCGGCGCAAGCUGCCGCUACAGGAUGGUCCCGCGGCGCAUUAGCUAGUUGGUGAGGUAACGGCUCACCAAGGCGACGAUGCGUAGCCGACCUGAGAGGGUGAUCGGCCACACUGGAACUGAGACACGGUCCAGACUCCUACGGGAGGCAGCAGUAGGGAAUCUUCCGCAAUGGACGAAAGUCUGACGGAGCAACGCCGCGUGAGCGAAGAAGGCCUUCGGGUCGUAAAGCUCUGUUGUUAGGGAAGAACAAGUAACGUAGUAACUGACGUUACUAUGACGGUACCUAACGAGAAAGCCACGGCUAACUACGUG
This 498-nucleotide ribosomal RNA is filed under the name uncultured bacterium. Its description in RNAcentral is "partial 16S ribosomal RNA". It matches the Rfam family "Bacterial small subunit ribosomal RNA", at positions 28 to 507 of the family's 1533-position model. The record is from RNAcentral.